GACGAACGCUGGCGGCACGCUUAACACAUGCAAGUCGAACGAAGAUGUUUCACCGUAGCUUGCUACACCGAGACAUUUUAGUGGCGGACGGGUGAGUAACACGUGAGCAAUCUGCCUUUCAGAGGGGGAUACCAGUUGGAAACGACUGUUAAUACCGCAUAACAUAUCGAGAUCGCAUGAUAUUGAUAUCAAAGAUUUAUCGCUGAAAGAUGAGCUCGCGUCUGAUUAGAUAGUUGGUGAGGUAACGGCUCACCAAGUCGACGAUCAGUAGCCGGACUGAGAGGUUGGACGGCCACAUUGGGACUGAGACACGGCCCAGACUCCUACGGGAGGCAGCAGUGGGGAAUAUUGCACAAUGGGCGCAAGCCUGAUGCAGCGAUGCCGCGUGAGGGAAGAAGGUUUUAGGAUUGUAAACCUCUGUCUUCAGGGACGAUAAUGACGGUACCUGAGGAGGAAAG
Molecule: ribosomal RNA, 458 nt
Filed under: uncultured bacterium
Lineage: Bacteria
Description: bacterial SSU rRNA
Rfam family: Bacterial small subunit ribosomal RNA
Source: RNAcentral